Molecule: ribosomal RNA, 208 nt
Filed under: uncultured Chlamydiales bacterium
Lineage: Bacteria; Pseudomonadati; Chlamydiota; Chlamydiia; Chlamydiales
Description: partial 16S ribosomal RNA
Rfam family: Bacterial small subunit ribosomal RNA
Source: RNAcentral
CGCCAACACUGGGACUGAGAUACUGCCCAGACUCCUACGGGAGGCUGCAGUCGAGAAUCUUUCGCAAUGGACGAAAGUCUGACGAAGCGACGCUGUGUGAGCGAUGAAGGCCUUCGGGUUGUAAAGCUCUUUCGCAUAGGAACAAGAAAGGCUGGUGAAUAACCAGCUAAUUUGAGGGUACUAGCGUAAAGAAGCACCGGCUAACUCC